This 229-nucleotide long non-coding RNA is filed under the name Elaeis guineensis (African oil palm). RNAcentral's name for it is "long non-coding RNA (EGUI_LNC002287)". The record is from RNAcentral. Lineage: Eukaryota; Viridiplantae; Streptophyta; Magnoliopsida; Arecales; Arecaceae.
CUCCAAUGUGGUCCUAUCAUCUAUCUCCAUUAAUAGAAUGGUGUCAUAUGACCUUGAUAUGAUAUUCUAUUUUUAUACAAUGACAAUAGUACCCUUACUUUCAAUUAUUAGUGGAGUGUCAGUCAUAGCGCCAAAAAUGUCAAAGCACGUUCCUCACGUGACCCAAGGUUUGGGAUACCAAUUACCCAAAAUCAAAAGGGGAGGAAAAGAAACCUAAAUCAAACUAUGU